GACGAACGCUGGCGGCGUGGAUUAGGCAUGCAAGUCGAACGGUAUCAUCCUUUCGGGGGUGAGAGAGUGGCGAACUGGUGAGUAACACGUAGGUUAUCUACCCUCAAGACGGGGACAACCCAGGGAAACUUGGGCUAAUACCGGAUGUGAGCAACUUUUAGUUGUUUGAAAGGUGGCGUAAGCUGUCGCUUGGGGAUGAGCCUGCGUCCUAUUAGUUAGUUGGUGAGGUAACGGCUCACCUAGGCAAUGAUAGGUAGGCGGCCUUAACGGGUGGUCGCCCACACUGGGAUUGAGAUACGGCCCAGACUCCUACGGGAGGCAGCAGUCGAGAAUAGUCUACAAUGGUCGGAAGACUGAUAGUGCGACGCCGCGUGAACGAUGAAUCCCUUCGGGGUGUAAAGUUCUUUUAUAUGUGAGCAGUGCUUCUUAUAUUAACAGUAUGGGGAGAGAGAUAUUAGCAUAUGAAAUAAGCAACGGCUAACUCCGUGCCCAGCAGCCCGCGGU
Molecule: ribosomal RNA, 504 nt
Filed under: uncultured bacterium
Lineage: Bacteria
Description: bacterial SSU rRNA
Rfam family: Bacterial small subunit ribosomal RNA
Source: RNAcentral